AUUGAACGCUGGCGGCAUGCCUUACACAUGCAAGUCGAACGGUAACGGGCCUUCGGGUGCCGACGAGUGGCGAACGGGUGAGUAAUACAUCGGAACGUGCCCGAUCGUGGGGGAUAACGAGGCGAAAGCUUUGCUAAUACCGCAUACGAUCUACGGAUGAAAGCAGGGGACCGCAAGGCCUUGCGCGGACGGAGCGGCCGAUGGCAGAUUAGGUAAUUGGUGGGAUAAAAGCUUACCAAGCCGACGAUCUGUAGCUGGUCUGAGAGGAUGAUCAGCCACACUGGGACUGAGACACGGCCCAGACUCCUACGGGAGGCAGCAGUGGGGAAUUUUGGACAAUGGGCGCAAGCCUGAUCCAGCCAUGCCGCGUGCAGGAUGAAGGCCUUCGGGUUGUAAACUGCUUUUGUACGGAACGAAAAGCCUUCUUUUAAUACAGGAGGGUCAUGACGGUACCGUAAGAAUAAGCACCGGCUAACUACGUG
Molecule: ribosomal RNA, 482 nt
Filed under: uncultured bacterium
Lineage: Bacteria
Description: partial 16S ribosomal RNA
Rfam family: Bacterial small subunit ribosomal RNA
Source: RNAcentral